UAUAUUUUUGAGAGUUUUUUUGCUGUUAUUCGGUUAUAAAUUCACGUAGAGACUUGAAACUUGGUGAUAAUACUAAUAUUGAAAUUAUCUAGACGUGGUAAAAUUUUUAAAAUCAUCAGACGACUUUUUUCCCUUUUUUUAAUUAGCGUGUUUUGAAAUCAAAUUUAAACGAAAAUCGUAAAAAAAAUUCCGGCACUUUAAGUUAUGUAUUACUGA
Molecule: non-coding RNA, 216 nt
Organism: Cinara cedri
Lineage: Eukaryota; Metazoa; Arthropoda; Insecta; Hemiptera; Aphididae
Source: the annotation of a GenBank genome assembly